GAUGAAGAACGUAGCGAAAUGCGAUAAGUAAUGUGAAUUGCAGAAUUCAGUGAAUCAUCGAAUCUUUGAACGCACAUUGCGCCCGCCAGUAUUCUGGCGGGCAUGCCUGUCCGAGCGUCAUUUCAACCCUCGAACCCCUCCGGGGGGUCGGCGUUGGGGACCUCGGGAGCCCCUAAGACGGGAUCCCGGCCCCGAAAUACAGUGGCGGUCUCGCCGCAGCCUCUCCUGCGCAGUAGUUUGCACAACUCGCACCGGGAGCGCGGCGCGUCCACGUCCGUAAAACACCCAACUUCUGAAAUGUUGAACUCGGAUCAGGUAGGAAUACCCGCUGAACUUAAGCAUAUCAAUAAGCGGAGGA
This 358-nucleotide unclassified non-coding RNA is filed under the name soil metagenome. Its description in RNAcentral is "partial contains 5.8S ribosomal RNA, internal transcribed spacer 2, and large subunit ribosomal RNA". The stretch from base 1 to 120 matches the Rfam family "5.8S ribosomal RNA", at positions 35 to 154 of the family's 154-position model. The record is from RNAcentral.